CUCUCAUGUGACCUAAUCCUUCAC
RNAcentral lists this non-coding RNA (24 nucleotides) under Arabidopsis thaliana (thale cress). The record is from RNAcentral. Lineage: Eukaryota; Viridiplantae; Streptophyta; Magnoliopsida; Brassicales; Brassicaceae.